GCGGCGGACGGGUGAGUAACGCAUAGGAAUUUACCCGGUAGUGGGGGAUAACCUGGGGAAACUCAGGCUAAUACCGCAUACGUCCUACGGGAGAAAGGGGGCUUUGGCUCCCGCUAUCGGAUGAGCCUAUGCCGGAUUAGCUGGUUGGUGAGGUAAUGGCUCACCAAGGCGACGAUCCGUAGCUGGUCUGAGAGGAUGAUCAGCCACAUCGGGACUGAGACACGGCCCGAACUCCUACGGGAGGCAGCAGUGGGGAAUAUUGGACAAUGGGGGCAACCCUGAUCCAGCCAUGCCGCGUGUGUGAAGAAGGCCCUCGGGUUGUAAAGCACUUUCAGCGAGGAAGAACGCCUGGUGGUUAAUACCCGCCAGGAAAGACAUCACUCGCAGAAGAAGCACCGGCUAACUCCGUGCCAGCAGCCGCGGUAAUACGGAGGGUGCAAGCGUUAAUCGGAAUUACUGGGCGUAAAGCGCGCGUAGGUGGCUUGAUAAGCCGGUUGUGAAAGCCCCGGGCUCAACCUGGGAACGGCAUCCGGAACUAUGAGGCUAGAGUGCAGGAGAGGAAGGUAGAAUUCCCGGUGUAGCGGUGAAAUGCGUAGAGAUCGGGAGGAAUACCAGUGGCGAAGGCGGCCUUCUGGACUGACACUGACACUGAGGUGCGAAAGCGUGGGUAGCAAACAGGAUUAGAUACCCUGGUAGUCCA
RNAcentral lists this ribosomal RNA (700 nucleotides) under Halomonas sp. S4. RNAcentral's name for it is "bacterial SSU rRNA". It matches the Rfam family "Bacterial small subunit ribosomal RNA", at positions 95 to 797 of the family's 1533-position model. The record is from RNAcentral. Lineage: Bacteria; Pseudomonadati; Pseudomonadota; Gammaproteobacteria; Oceanospirillales; Halomonadaceae.